AGCGAACGCUGGCGGCGUACUUAACACAUGCAAGUCGAACGGGGAUCGUCGGGUUAGCAAUAAUUCGGCGGUCCUAGUGGCGUACGGGUGAGUAACACGUGGGCAACUUGCCCUUGAGACCGGGAUACCCUCUCGAAAGGGAGGCUAAUACUGGAUACGUUCUUCGGAUCGCAAGAUCUGGAGAGGAAAGGUGGCGCAAGCUACCGCUCUUGGAGAGGCUCGCGGCCUAUCAGCUAGUUGGUGAGGUAAUGGCUCACCAAGGCUAUGACGGGUAGCUGGUCUGAGAGGACGACCAGCCACACGGGAACUGAGACACGGUCCCGACUCCUACGGGAGGCAGCAGUGGGGAAUUUUCCGCAAUGGGCGAAAGCCUGACGGAGUGACGCCGCGUGGGGGACGAAGCC
This 404-nucleotide ribosomal RNA is filed under the name uncultured bacterium. RNAcentral's name for it is "bacterial SSU rRNA". It matches the Rfam family "Bacterial small subunit ribosomal RNA", at positions 29 to 415 of the family's 1533-position model. The record is from RNAcentral.